GUAGUAUAUUUUUCUCAAACGCGCAAAAAAUUUGCACGUUAAUAUAUUAGAUAGAAAGAGUUUUGAAACAUGACGCCUAGAGGCCUAAUGGGCCCUACGCUGAGACUCAAAAAAGAAAACCGAAGCAACUAAACUAGAAGACUCCAAAACAAACGCAACUCCAGGAGAAAGGGAAGGGGUAGGCCCACUCUACACACCUAAGAGGCCCCCAAGGUGGCGACGCUGGCGGCAGACCACAUUUGACCCACCGAAACAACGAGAUCCUUAAUUGCUUGGACGGAAGACAAUGCCUAGUCGAAAUUCUGCGGUUCUGC
This 314-nucleotide long non-coding RNA is filed under the name Oryza brachyantha (malo sina). RNAcentral describes it as "long non-coding RNA (OBRA_LNC002952)". Lineage: Eukaryota; Viridiplantae; Streptophyta; Magnoliopsida; Poales; Poaceae. The record is from RNAcentral.